RNAcentral lists this ribosomal RNA (253 nucleotides) under uncultured bacterium. Its description in RNAcentral is "partial 16S ribosomal RNA". It matches the Rfam family "Bacterial small subunit ribosomal RNA", at positions 524 to 776 of the family's 1533-position model. The record is from RNAcentral.
UACGAAGGGGGCUAGCGUUGCUCGGAAUCACUGGGCGUAAAGCGCACGUAGGCGGUUUCUUAAGUCAGGGGUGAAAUCCCGAGGCUCAACCUCGGAACUGCCUUUGAUACUGGGGAUCUCGAGUCCGGGAGAGGUGAGUGGAACUGCGAGUGUAGAGGUGAAAUUCGUAGAUAUUCGCAAGAACACCAGUGGCGAAGGCGGCUCACUGGCCCGGAACUGACGCUGAGGUGCGAAAGCGUGGGGAGCAAACAGG